RNAcentral lists this non-coding RNA (184 nucleotides) under Clostridium carboxidivorans. The record is from RNAcentral. Lineage: Bacteria; Bacillati; Bacillota; Clostridia; Eubacteriales; Clostridiaceae. RNAcentral also lists the same sequence under 1 other name.
GAGAAUAUUGUAACUUCAGGUGCCUUUUAACAAGGUGAAAAGGGAAUGCGGUUGAAUUCCGCAACAGCCCCCGCUACUGUAAUUGAGGACAAACCUUUACUGGCCACUCUAUAUUAAUAUUUGAGGAAGGCAAAGGGGAGAAUGAUUCAUAAGCCAGGAGACCUGCCUGAUUAAAACAUAUGCU